This is a long non-coding RNA of Cygnus olor (mute swan), 507 nucleotides long. RefSeq lists it as uncharacterized. The record is from RefSeq and is a predicted model, not a curated record. NCBI's taxonomy places the organism in Eukaryota, Metazoa, Chordata, Aves, Anseriformes, Anatidae. The transcript is spliced from 3 exons.
UGAGAGCUGUGCCAACGGCAGGUCCCUGAGAUGUCUGCGUAGUUGUGGCGUCGAAGCGUUAGAGAGGAUGUUCAAGUAGUGCUUUUUGGUCAAGCAAGAUGGACAUGAUGUGGAGCCACGAGAAGGGACAGGUGCAUUUCCACUGAAAAGGCUUUCUGAACCUGUGAGGAUACAGACUGGGGAACUUUUGAGCUAAGGAUCUGCAACAGAAGCGGAAUCUUUAAAAACAGAAACACAAGGCUGGUUUUAAGAGAAGAUCCACUAAUAGGAUGUGGUAAAUACCGAACACUGGACCUGUAAUCCAAGUUUUGAUAAAAACCAAACAUCCAGCAGAGGAGGAAUGCCACGCCUCUCUUUCCAGAGCACUUAAGGCUCUCUACAAAAAGAAAAGUGCAGGGUGUGUGUAUGUGCGUGUUUGCUUUUCCCCAGUGCUCAGAUCCUAAACUAUUCCUAAAGAUUUUUCAGUACUUUGUUUUGCUAAGAUCUUUGUCCUGUGAGCAUUUCUGU